Molecule: long non-coding RNA, 418 nt
Filed under: Ananas comosus (pineapple)
Lineage: Eukaryota; Viridiplantae; Streptophyta; Magnoliopsida; Poales; Bromeliaceae
Description: long non-coding RNA (ACOM_LNC011970)
Source: RNAcentral
UACCACAAUUUAUCCUCACGCCUCACUUUAAUUCUUUUAAUCAAAGUUAGCGUCGGAAAUCAGAAACUUCUCUUUACUUUUCGUUUCGCGCCCAAUUUGCGCCGAAACACUUAUUUAUCUCUAGAAUUCAUUCUCACGCGUCCACAAUCACUCGGGGAAGAUGUCCAAAUAGCUCAAUCCUCACUUUGAUCCCCUAGAUCAAAGUUAGCAUCGCAACUCAAGGUUUCCAUAUAUUACAAUUAAUAUAUAAAUCUAUCUUAAUUAAUCUCUAAUAGAUUUAAAUAUUAAUCUUAAUCUAGUUAGGUUUAUCCUUUAAUUAAUAUUUAAAUCUUAAUUUAUCUCCAACAGAUUUAAAUAUUAAUUCUAAUCCAAUUAGGAUUCAACUACAAAUCUAACCAAAUCCUAACAGGGAAGUCAU